Molecule: ribosomal RNA, 253 nt
Filed under: uncultured bacterium
Lineage: Bacteria
Description: partial 16S ribosomal RNA
Rfam family: Bacterial small subunit ribosomal RNA
Source: RNAcentral
UACGUAGGGUGCGAGCGUUGUCCGGAAUUAUUGGGCGUAAAGGGCUCGUAGGCGGUUUGUCGCGUCGGGAGUGAAAACCCAGGGCUUAACCCUGGGCUGGCUUCCGAUACGGGCAGACUAGAGGUAUGCAGGGGAGAACGGAAUUCCUGGUGUAGCGGUGAAAUGCGCAGAUAUCAGGAGGAACACCGGUGGCGAAGGCGGCAUCCUGGACCGGUAUUGACGCUGAGGCGCGAAAGCUAGGGGAGCAAACGGG